CUACCAGUCAUACAUACUUUCUGGGAAGCGAUUCCCGGGGGAGUUCUAUGAGGGACUGACUGGGGUUACCAGUAGGAAGUUUGAGGCAAUAACAGGUCUGUGAUGCCCUUAGAUGUUCUGGGCUGCACGCGCGCUACACUGAUGGAGGCAGCGAGUUUGGGCCUGCGCCGGAAGGUGUGGGAAAUCUUGUGAAACUCCAUCGUGCUGGGGAUAGACCAUUGCAAUUAUUGGUCUUCAACGAGGAAUUCCUAGUAAGCGCAAGUCAUCAGCUUGCGUUGAUUACGUCCCUGCCCUUUGUACACACCGCCCGUCGCU
This 315-nucleotide ribosomal RNA is filed under the name uncultured fungus. RNAcentral describes it as "bacterial SSU rRNA". It matches the Rfam family "Eukaryotic small subunit ribosomal RNA", at positions 1360 to 1680 of the family's 1831-position model. The record is from RNAcentral. Lineage: Eukaryota; Fungi.